UGGUGAGGUAAAGGCUCACCAAGGCGACGAUCCCUAGCUGGUUUGAGAGGAUGAUCAGCCACACUGGAACUGAGACACGGUCCAGACUCCUACGGGAGGCAGCAGUGGGGAAUAUUGCACAAUGGGCGCAAGCCUGAUGCAGCCAUGCCGCGUGUGUGAAGAAGGCCUUCGGGUUGUAAAGCACUUUCACUCAGGAGGAAAGGUUAGUAGUUAAAACCUGCUAGCUGUGACGUUACUGACAGAAGAAGCACCGGCUAACUCCGUGCCAGCAGCCGCGGUAAUACGGAGGGUGCGAGCGUUAAUCGGAAUUACUGGGCGUAAAGCGUACGCACGCGGUUUGUUAAGCGAGAUGUGAAAGCCCCGGGCUUAACCUGGGAACUGCAUUUCGAACUGGCAAACUAGAGUGUGAUAGAGGGUGGUAGAAUUUCAGGUGUAGCGGUGAAAUGCGUAGAGAUCUGAAGG
RNAcentral lists this ribosomal RNA (462 nucleotides) under Pseudoalteromonas sp. 06-028662. RNAcentral's name for it is "bacterial SSU rRNA". It matches the Rfam family "Bacterial small subunit ribosomal RNA", at positions 250 to 704 of the family's 1533-position model. Lineage: Bacteria; Pseudomonadati; Pseudomonadota; Gammaproteobacteria; Alteromonadales; Pseudoalteromonadaceae. The record is from RNAcentral.